GUUUUUGUAGUUGAUUUACAACGGUGGUUUUUCGGACCUCGGGUCUCGUUAGAGCAAGAACU
This 62-nucleotide transfer RNA is filed under the name Rhabdophis tigrinus (Tiger keelback). Its description in RNAcentral is "tRNA-Glu". The record is from RNAcentral. Lineage: Eukaryota; Metazoa; Chordata; Lepidosauria; Squamata; Natricidae.